Molecule: non-coding RNA, 104 nt
Filed under: Thermoplasmatales archaeon A-plasma
Lineage: Archaea; Methanobacteriati; Thermoplasmatota; Thermoplasmata; Thermoplasmatales
Also listed under: 1 other name
Description: TPP riboswitch aptamer (THI element)
Rfam family: TPP riboswitch aptamer (THI element)
About the family: Vitamin B(1) in its active form thiamin pyrophosphate (TPP) is an essential coenzyme that is synthesised by coupling of pyrimidine and thiazole moieties in bacteria. The previously detected thiamin-regulatory element, thi box was extended, resulting in a new, highly conserved RNA secondary structure, the THI element, which is widely distributed in eubacteria and also occurs in some archaea. Analysis of operon structures identified a large number of new candidate thiamin-regulated genes, mostly transporters, in various prokaryotic organisms.
Source: Rfam by way of RNAcentral
AAAGGAUACUAGGGGAGCUUCUGCUGAAGCUGAGAGGACCUUGCGGUCGACCCUUGGAACCUGAUCCAGGUAAUGCUGGCGGAGGGAUGUUGAUGUGUAUCUUA